AGCCGCAGCCAGAUCUUCUGCCGCCCUGCUAAAGGAGGCCCUGACAUUCGCUGGAGACAGCCCAUCAAACAGCCUGUUGCUAAUUGUCCGCGAAGACCCAGAUCACCCGUGUCACGCUCAUGCGGAGUUGCUCGCGGACAGGCCUGUAACCCUGAGUGAUAUAGAGCCGGUCAUCUUCUUCAACAAACUCUGAUGGGAGAGAGAUGGCAAUGAAGACACGACGUAAUGGCGCAAAGACGAAUGGCGGCAAACUCGGAAACCGACCCGAACUACUCAAUUCAGACAACAUUAUUACAAGCUUACAGUUGGGAAUCAGGCUAAGAUUGAAGUACAUUGAAGCUGCAUGUUCUGGGUGGAUUCCAGGAGGAUGAAAGUGACAGACAGAGAGAGCGAGAGAGAAGAGGAUGUGUAACUGCAUUACCCGUUUUUUGUGUUGCUGCGCUCUAGUGGAAGAAGAAGAAAACUGGACCUUCACAUUUUUUGGAAAGCUUGCAGUAUGAUGCUAGGGUUUUAUGAAGGGUUGCCUGAGAUAAGCUCUUUUUGUGCAGUUCUCAGUAUCUGUGUGUUCAGUCAUUUCAAUAACAUAAAAAUAGAUUGCAGCUAAUGGAUAUA
Labeo rohita (rohu) is the source of this 612-nucleotide long non-coding RNA. RefSeq lists it as uncharacterized. The record is from RefSeq and is a predicted model, not a curated record. The transcript has 4 exons. Lineage: Eukaryota; Metazoa; Chordata; Actinopteri; Cypriniformes; Cyprinidae.